Molecule: ribosomal RNA, 510 nt
Filed under: uncultured bacterium
Lineage: Bacteria
Description: partial 16S ribosomal RNA
Rfam family: Bacterial small subunit ribosomal RNA
Source: RNAcentral
GACGAACGCUGGCGGCGUGCUUAACACAUGCAAGUCGAACGAAGAGCGAUGGAAGCUUGCCUCUAUCAAUCUUAGUGGCGAACGGGUGAGUAACGCGUAAUCAACCUGCCCUUCAGAGGGGGACAACAGUUGGAAACGACUGCUAAUACCGCAUACGAUCUAAUCUCGGCAUCGAGGAAAGAUGAAAGGUGGCCUCUAUUUAUAAGCUAUCACUGAAGGAGGGGAUUGCGUCUGAUUAGCUAGUUGGAGGGGUAACGGCCCACCAAGGCGAUGAUCAGUAGCCGGUCUGAGAGGAUGAACGGCCACAUUGGGACUGAGACACGGCCCAGACUCCUACGGGAGGCAGCAGUGGGGAAUCUUCCGCAAUGGACGAAAGUCUGACGGAGCAACGCCGCGUGAGUGAUGACGGCCUUCGGGUUGUAAAGCUCUGUUAAUCGGGACGAAAGGCCUUCUUGCGAACAGUUAGAAGGAUUGACGGUAUCGGAAUAGAAAGCCACGGCUAACUACGUG